This 3008-nucleotide ribosomal RNA is filed under the name Francisella tularensis. RNAcentral's name for it is "partial 23S ribosomal RNA". It matches the Rfam family "Bacterial large subunit ribosomal RNA". The record is from RNAcentral. Lineage: Bacteria; Pseudomonadati; Pseudomonadota; Gammaproteobacteria; Thiotrichales; Francisellaceae.
UUGGUUAAGUUAUUAAGGGCGCACGGCGAAUGCCUUGGCACUAGGAGCCGAAGAAGGACGGCACUAACACCGAUAUGCUUCGGGGAGCUGUAAGUGAGCUUUGAUCCGGAGAUUUCCGAAUGGGGGAACCCACUACGUUUAAUCGCGUAGUAUCUUGACGUGAAUACAUAGCGUCUUGAAGGCAGACCCAGGGAACUGAAACAUCUAAGUACCUGGAGGAAGAGAAAGAAAAAUCGAUUCCCUGAGUAGCGGCGAGCGAAACGGGAAGAGCCCAAACCAAGAGGCUUGCCUCUUGGGGUUGUAGGACACUCUAUACGGAGUUACAAAAGAGCGAGUUAGAUGAAGCGACUUGGAAAGGUCCGCCAGAGCAGGUAAAAGCCCUGUAGUCGAAAGUUCGUUCUCUCCUGAGUGGAUCCUGAGUACGGCGGAACACGUGAAAUUCCGUCGGAAUCCGGGAGGACCAUCUCCCAAGGCUAAAUACUACCUAGUGACCGAUAGUGAACCAGUACCGUGAGGGAAAGGUGAAAAGCACCCCGGAAGGGGAGUGAAAGAGAUCCUGAAACCGUGUGCCUACAAGUAGUUAGAGCCCGUUAAUGGGUGAUAGCGUGCCUUUUGUAGAAUGAACCGGCGAGUUACGAUUACGUGCAAGGUUAAGCUUUAGAAGGCGGAGCCGCAGCGAAAGCGAGUCUGAAUAGGGCGAANNNNNNNNNNNNNNNNNNNNNNNNNNNNNNNNNNNNNNNNNNNNNNNNNNNNNNNNNNNNNNNNNNNNNNNNNNNNNNNUAGUACGUGGUCGUAGACCCGAAACCAGGUGAUCUACCCAUGUCCAGGGUGAAGGUGAGGUAACACUUACUGGAGGCCCGAACCCACGCACGUUGAAAAGUGCGGGGAUGAGGUGUGGGUAGCGGAGAAAUUCCAAUCGAACUUGGAGAUAGCUGGUUCUCUCCGAAAUAGCUUUAGGGCUAGCCUCGUGAUGAGAAUACUGGAGGUAGAGCACUGUUUGGACUAGGGGGCCAUCCCGGUUUACCGAAUUCAGACAAACUCCGAAUGCCAGAUAUUUAUACACGGGAGUCAGACUGCGAGUGAUAAGAUCCGUAGUCAAAAGGGAAACAGCCCAGACCACCAGCUAAGGUCCCAAAGUAAUCGUUAAGUGGAAAAGGAUGUGGCGUUGCACAGACAACCAGGAUGUUGGCUUAGAAGCAGCCAUCAUUUAAAGAGUGCGUAAUAGCUCACUGGUCGAGUGACGCUGCGCCGAAAAUGUAUCGGGGCUAAACGAUUCACCGAAGCUGUGGAUUGACAUCUACGAUGUCAGUGGUAGGAGAGCGUUCUAAGUGCGUUGAAGUCAGACCGGAAGGACUGGUGGAGCGCUUAGAAGUGAGAAUGCCGGUAUGAGUAGCGAAAGACGGGUGAGAAUCCCGUCCACCGUAUGACUAAGGUUUCCUGAGGAAGGCUCGUCCGCUCAGGGUUAGUCGGGACCUAAGCCGAGGCCGAUAGGCGUAGGCGAUGGACAACAGGUUGAUAUUCCUGUACCACCUCCUCACCGUUUGAGAAAUGGGGGGACGCAGUAGGAUAGGGUAAGCGCGCCGUUGGUUGUGCGCGUCCAAGCAGUAAGGCGUGUGUGUAGGCAAAUCCGCACACUGUAACGUUGAGCUGUGAUGGCGAGUCCGUAUGGACGAAGUUCCUGAUUUCACACUGCCAAGAAAAGCCUCUAUCGAGGUGAGAGGUGCCCGUACCGCAAACCGACACAGGUAGUCGAGGAGAGAAUCCUAAGGUGUGCGAGAGAACUCUCGUUAAGGAACUCGGCAAAAUGACCCCGUAACUUCGGGAGAAGGGGUGCUCUUGAGCGUGCAAGCGCAUGAGAGCCGCAGUGAAUAGGCCCAGGCGACUGUUUAGCAAAAACACAGGUCUCUGCAAAACCGUAAGGUGACGUAUAGGGGCUGACGCCUGCCCGGUGCUGGAAGGUUAAGAGGAGUGGUUAGCGCAAGCGAAGCUGCGAAUUGAAGCCCCAGUAAACGGCGGCCGUAACUAUAACGGUCCUAAGGUAGCGAAAUUCCUUGUCGGGUAAGUUCCGACCCGCACGAAAGGCGUAACGAUCUGGGCACUGUCUCAACGAGAGACUCGGUGAAAUUAUAGUACCUGUGAAGAUGCAGGUUACCCGCGACAGGACGGAAAGACCCCGUGGAGCUUUACUGUAGCCUGAUAUUGAAUUUUGGUACAACUUGUACAGGAUAGGUAGGAGCCAGAGAUCUCGGAGCGCCAGCUUCGAAGGAGGCGUCGGUGGGAUACUACCCUGGUUGUAUUGAAAUUCUAACCCAUGCCCCUUAGCGGGGCAGGAGACAGUGUCAGGCGGACAGUUUGACUGGGGCGGUCGCCUCCUAAAAGGUAACGGAGGCGCCCAAAGGUUCCCUCAGAAUGGUUGGAAAUCAUUCGUAGAGUGUAAAGGCACAAGGGAGCUUGACUGCGAGACCUACAAGUCGAGCAGGGUCGAAAGACGGGCUUAGUGAUCCGGUGGUUCCGCAUGGAAGGGCCAUCGCUCAACGGAUAAAAGCUACCCCGGGGAUAACAGGCUUAUCUCCCCCAAGAGUCCACAUCGACGGGGAGGUUUGGCACCUCGAUGUCGGCUCAUCGCAUCCUGGGGCUGUAGUCGGUCCCAAGGGUUGGGCUGUUCGCCCAUUAAAGCGGUACGCGAGCUGGGUUCAGAACGUCGUGAGACAGUUCGGUCCCUAUCCGUCGUGGGCGUAGGAAAUUUGAGAGGAGCUGUCCUUAGUACGAGAGGACCGGGAUGGACACACCGCUGGUGUACCAGUUGUCUUGCCAAAGGCAUCGCUGGGUAGCUAUGUGUGGACGGGAUAAGUGCUGAAAGCAUCUAAGCAUGAAGCCCCCCUCAAGAUGAGAUUUCCCAUUACGCAAGUAAGUAAGAUCCCUCAAAGACGAUGAGGUAGAUAGGUUCGAGGUGGAAGUGUGGUGACACAUGGAGCUGACGAAUACUAAUCGAUCGAGGACUUAACCAA